This 450-nucleotide ribosomal RNA is filed under the name uncultured bacterium. RNAcentral's name for it is "partial 16S ribosomal RNA". It matches the Rfam family "Bacterial small subunit ribosomal RNA", at positions 338 to 795 of the family's 1533-position model. The record is from RNAcentral.
CCUACGGGUGGCUGCAGUGAGGAAUUUUGGGCAAUGGGCGCAAGCCUGACCCAGCGACGCCGCGUGGGCGAUGAAGGCCUUCGGGUCGUAAAGCCCUGUGAGUCGAGAAGAAGCCGGCACGUGCUAAUACCAUGUGCUGGUGACAGUAUCGGCAGAGGAAGCCCCGGCCAACUACGUGCCAGCAGCCGCGGUAAACCGUAGGGGGCUAGCGUUGUUCGGAAUCGCUGGGCGUGAAGCGCGAGUCGGCAGCGAAAGCCCUCGGCUCAACCGGGGAACUGCUUUCGAAACUGCUAGGCUUGAAUGCGGGAGGGGAGAGCGGAAUUCCCGGUGGAGCGGUGAAAUGCGUAGAUAUCGGGAAGAACACCGGUGGCGAAGGCGGCUCUCUGGACCGUGAUUGACGCUGAGACGCGAAAGCGUGGGGAGCAAACAGGAUUAGAUACCCCUGUAGUC